GAGAUGCUUGUCCAAAAAUCAGAUUAUUCAUGUGUUGAACAUAUAAUCUGAUUUAUGUAUGGUGAGAUCUUUUGAGGAAGGAUUCCUAAAGAGGUCUUAGUGGAGGUCAUAAAGGUAUACAAGUAAUGGUGCAACCAGUUCUUGCGAAGGACAAUCGACAGUGUACUAUGAAAGAAGGCUGCAGUACCAUGAUGAAUUAGGAAGGGCC
RNAcentral lists this long non-coding RNA (208 nucleotides) under Elaeis guineensis (African oil palm). RNAcentral describes it as "long non-coding RNA (EGUI_LNC062052)". Lineage: Eukaryota; Viridiplantae; Streptophyta; Magnoliopsida; Arecales; Arecaceae. The record is from RNAcentral.